RNAcentral lists this long non-coding RNA (204 nucleotides) under Elaeis guineensis (African oil palm). Its description in RNAcentral is "long non-coding RNA (EGUI_LNC078402)". Lineage: Eukaryota; Viridiplantae; Streptophyta; Magnoliopsida; Arecales; Arecaceae. The record is from RNAcentral.
UAUUCUAAUUUUUAUAUGGUAUCAGAGCAAAUCAAUCCAUCCUCUCCUGAUUAGAUUCCUCAUGAUAAGAUAUUGUCGGAUUUUCUUCCCACUCCCACCACAUACAGCAAGAUUUCUUUAUCGGUGUUAUUAUCUUUUCGGCAAGUGAUUGCCAAACUAUUGCUUGUUGAUUUUCAUUUUCUCACCAUUAGUUGUAUCUGGCAA